AGUCGAGCGGAACGAGUUAUCUGAACCUUCGGGGAACGAUAACGGCGUCGAGCGGCGGACGGGUGAGUAAUGCCUAGGAAAUUGCCCUGGUGUGGGGGAUAACCAUUGGAAACGAUGGCUAAUACCGCAUAACACCUACGGGUCAAAGAGGGGGACCUUCGGGCCUCUCGGGUCAGGAUAUGCCUAGGUGGGAUUAGCUAGUUGGUGAGGUAAUGGCUCACCAAGGCGACGAUCCCUAGCUGGUCUGAGAGGAUGAUCAGCCACACUGGAACUGAGACACGGUCCAGACUCCUACGGGAGGCAGCAGUGGGGAAUAUUGCACAAUGGGCGCAAGCCUGAUGCAGCCAUGCCGCGUGUGUGAAGAAGGCCUUCGGGUUGUAAAGCACUUUCAGUCGUGAGGAAGGUAGUGUAGUUAAUAGCUGCAUUAUUUGACGUUAGCGACAGAAGAAGCACCGGCUAACUCCGUGCCAGCAGCCGCGGUAAUACGGAGGGUGCGAGCGUUAAUCGGAAUUACUGGGCGUAAAGCGCAUGCAGGUGGUUUGUUAAGUCAGAUGUGAAAGCCCGGGGCUCAACCUCGGAAUAGCAUUUGAAACUGGCAGACUAGAGUACUGUAGAGGGGGGUAGAAUUUCAGGUGUAGCGGUGAAAUGCGUAGAGAUCUGAGGGAAUACCGGUGGCGAAGCGGCCCCCUGGACAGAUACUGACACUCAGAUGCGAAAGCGUGGGGGAGCAAACAGGAUUAGAUACCCUGGUAGUCCACGCCGUAAACGAUGUCUACUUGGAGGUUGUGGCC
Molecule: ribosomal RNA, 791 nt
Filed under: uncultured Vibrio sp.
Lineage: Bacteria; Pseudomonadati; Pseudomonadota; Gammaproteobacteria; Vibrionales; Vibrionaceae
Description: bacterial SSU rRNA
Rfam family: Bacterial small subunit ribosomal RNA
Source: RNAcentral